GUCUCCUCUUUUAACUGCAUCUCCUGGAAUCCUGAAGAGGUGACAGCACAGACAAUUUUUCCUUCAGAUCUUAUGAAUGGAAGUAGGUGGAGACAAGCAACUUGCAAGAUAAAAAAAAUGCAGAUGUUGAUAUCUUAUUAUGGUCAAGAAUUCAAGCUAACCAAGCAAAAUCUUACAGUAGAUCUUACAAUUCACAUUUUAAGAUGACCUCCCAUUAUGCACCGAGAAUAAAGAACAUGCAUUGUU
This is a long non-coding RNA of Pantherophis guttatus, 246 nucleotides long. RefSeq lists it as uncharacterized. NCBI's taxonomy places the organism in Eukaryota, Metazoa, Chordata, Lepidosauria, Squamata, Colubridae. The record is from RefSeq and is a predicted model, not a curated record.